Molecule: long non-coding RNA, 764 nt
Filed under: Macaca mulatta (Rhesus monkey)
Lineage: Eukaryota; Metazoa; Chordata; Mammalia; Primates; Cercopithecidae
Description: lncRNA (ENSMMUG00000049859.1)
Source: RNAcentral
GACUUCAUCAAGUCUAUUAGUGAAAUGGGGAAUGAUGGGCAGGCAAUAAACAAUGUCAGAUAGUGAAAAGUGCUAUGUCAAAAAAUAAAAAUAAAGACAAGAUAUGAGGUUAAGAGGGUGAUAAUGGAAUAAGUUUAGGGUUACAGCAGUGGUUCUCAACCAGAGCAAUUUUGCCCUCCAGGUGACAUUUGACAAUGUCUGCAGACAUUUUUGGUUGUCACAACUGGACAGAUACUACUGAUAUCUACUGGGUAGAGACCAGCACUGCUGCCAAAGAUUCUGCAAUGCACAGAUAGCCCUGUCCCCCACAACAAAGAAUUAUUUGGGCCAAAAUGUACAAAAACUGAGAAACAUUGACUUAGCAGUAGAGAGAGGGUACAAUAGACAGAAUCUCCAAAGACCUGAGGGAGUGGGACAUUCACAUUACUUGGAGAACAGAGAGGGCAGCAAGAAUGAAAGCUCCAAGCCAGGAAGUGACAGGAAGCACUAUGCUGUGUGAACUUCAGAGGAAAGAAAACAUAGGCAUGAGAUUUUAAAAGAAAGAAAGAAGGAAAAGUAACAGAAAAUAAAAGAAACCCAAAUCCGUUUGCUCCUGUACUCCUGUAUUGAUAAUAAAAAAUGUGGAGGCUGAAAAUGAAAGUGUGCACUUUUUAAAAAAACUAUAGUUAUGUGCCCUCCCAAAGAUGUGUAAGCCCAGAUUCACAAGAGUAUAUUUGGCAACUGGUACUUUAGCUAUUCAUUUGCUUCCAUAAAACAGUAGGUAU